RNAcentral lists this small RNA (73 nucleotides) under Azospirillum brasilense. RNAcentral's name for it is "suhB". The record is from RNAcentral. Lineage: Bacteria; Pseudomonadati; Pseudomonadota; Alphaproteobacteria; Rhodospirillales; Azospirillaceae.
CCAAGUUCUCUUGGUUUCCUCCCUCCCAGAACUAGGCUGCGCCUCACCGGCUGCAGCCUUUUCUUUUUCCGGA